UGGGGAAUUUUGCACAAUGGGGGAAACCCUGAUGCAGCGACGCCGCGUGAUUUAGAAGGCCUUCGGGUUGUAAAAAUCUUUUCUAUGGGAAGAAAAUGACAGUACCAUAGGAAUAAGGACCGGCUAAUUACGUGCCAGCAGCCGCGGUAAUACGUAAGGUCCGAGCGUUGUCCGGAAUCAUUGGGCGUAAAGGGUACGUAGGCGGAUAAGCAAGUUAGAAGUGAAAUCCUAUAGCUCAACUAUAGUAAGCUUUUAAAACUGCUCAUCUUGAGGUAUGGAAGGGAAAGUGGAAUUCCUAGUGUAGCGGUGAAAUGCGCAGAUAUUAGGAGGAAUACCGGUGGCGAAGGCGACUUUCUGGCCAUAUACUGACGCUGAGGUACGAAAGCGUGGGUAGCAAACAGG
RNAcentral lists this ribosomal RNA (402 nucleotides) under Verrucomicrobiota bacterium. RNAcentral describes it as "Verrucomicrobia bacterium partial 16S ribosomal RNA". It matches the Rfam family "Bacterial small subunit ribosomal RNA", at positions 355 to 776 of the family's 1533-position model. The record is from RNAcentral. Lineage: Bacteria; Pseudomonadati; Verrucomicrobiota.